RNAcentral lists this RNase P RNA (210 nucleotides) under Bacteroidia bacterium. RNAcentral describes it as "partial RNase P RNA component class A". It matches the Rfam family "Bacterial RNase P class A", at positions 1 to 212 of the family's 367-position model. From Rfam's summary of the family: Ribonuclease P (RNase P) is a ubiquitous endoribonuclease, found in archaea, bacteria and eukarya as well as chloroplasts and mitochondria. Its best characterised activity is the generation of mature 5'-ends of tRNAs by cleaving the 5'-leader elements of precursor-tRNAs. Lineage: Bacteria; Pseudomonadati; Bacteroidota; Bacteroidia. The record is from RNAcentral.
CGUCAUUGUUGAUCCAUCGCCUCUUUGCAAGACAAGGGGAGGAAAGUCCGGGCAGCGCAGUGCAUCUUGCUUCCUAACGGGAAGGAUUCUGCGAAUGCAGGAGACAGCCAGUGCCACAGAAAAUAACUAUCCGCCGAUUAGGCGGAAAAAGGUGAAAAUGUGAGGUAAGAGCUCACGGUGAUCGGUAGCGAUGCUGAUCAGGGGUAAACC